This 23-nucleotide non-coding RNA is filed under the name Arabidopsis thaliana (thale cress). Lineage: Eukaryota; Viridiplantae; Streptophyta; Magnoliopsida; Brassicales; Brassicaceae. The record is from RNAcentral.
CCAGCUGACUCUCCGACCAUCGU